RNA transcript from Papaver somniferum (opium poppy), 4058 nucleotides. RefSeq lists it as uncharacterized. NCBI's taxonomy places the organism in Eukaryota, Viridiplantae, Streptophyta, Magnoliopsida, Ranunculales, Papaveraceae. The record is from RefSeq and is a predicted model, not a curated record. The transcript has 7 exons.
ACUCCCCCGGUUUAGGGUUCAUUUCAUAACUCGUCCGUCAAACCCCCAGAAAAAAUUUCAUCUUUGUGAUGCAUCAUUCAGACUUGUAAUCAGAGAUCGAAAGAUGCUUAGGCUGAGAAGCAGCAAUGGCUUCCCAAAGCAAUUCAUUACAUCAUCAGUAUAUACUUCUUUCAACCAUCUACUUCAAUUCUCAGAUUUUGCAUCAACAACAACAACAUCUAUAAACCCUGAAACCCAAAAUGAUUCACCUCUAAGAAGCUCAACUGGAUUCAGAGAUGCCCAAAUCAGGUGCCUUCUUUCUCCCUCUACUACUUUACUUGCUUCUCAUGUAGAAAAAACUGGAAAACCUAAGGUUUUCAAAGAUUUGGGGUUACCAGUUCCAGCUAUUCAGAGAUCAAAUUGGUUGAUUCAACCCAAUAUAUUGUCCUUAACUAAGAAAUGUGGUAUAUCUGAUGACAAAAAUCAGAAAUUUCUUUUAAGUAAUGUUAGACAUUUGAUGAAUAAGCCCGAUAGAGUUGAUGAUGUUGAUGAGAAAAACACUGAUGAAGAGAGGGAUUUGAUUAAGAAAGGUCCAAAUUCACCUCUGCAAACCAUUCUAGGAGAAGCUCGAAUUCGUUUCAUGUGGACAUCGUUUGGUCUUGGUAUGACAUGGUUUACAUGUUACUGGUUUUCAGAAGAAUUCAUAUUCCUAUUAGCUAAACCAUUUCUGACUUUGAAUUCGGAUUCACAUUUUGUUUGUAUACAAUUGACGGAGGCAUUGUCGACGUAUCUUGCAACGGCUUCGAUAGCAUGUGCUUACUUUGUGUUUCCAUUGAUUAGUUAUCAGUUGUGGAGCUUUCUGAUACCAAGCUGUUAUGAAGAACAAAGGAUGAGAUACAAUAGGGUCUUUCAUUUAAGUGGUUUUUCGUUCGCUUUCUUCACGUGCCUUACUUUUUCAUAUGUGGUUCCGAAUAUUUGGCAUUUCUUAUACUCCAUGGGUGCAACAUCAACCAAUUUGCUCAUGAUCACGUUACAACCUAAGAUUUAUGAUUAUAUCAUGUUGACUCUUCGAAUUUCGUUGAUUUCGUCGGUCUGUUCCCAGGUGCCUGUCCUUUUGAUCUCUUUGCUAGAACAAAAGGCUAUUUCUGUGGAAAGCUUUACGAACAAUCGUCGUUAUUUAAUGCUUUUUUCUCUUUUCACGGCUGCUCUUUCCACACCUCCGGAUAUCUGGUGUCAAAUUGUUGCCUGUUCUGUUCUUUAUUCAACCAUAGAGUUGGCUAUGUUCGUGGCAUUGGUUAAACAAGUUCGUGAAGGAGUGGAAUGAGGUUGUUUACCGGCUAAUCUCGCUCUUCAAGUUUUUGUAAGGAUAUUUGGAGAUGGUUGUGUAAUGUGUUCCACUUUCAAAUAUCUGGCGGUUUUUCUGACAUCUUCUCCGGGGCUAAGAAUAAGAGUCCUGUUGUUAAGGAAAUUUGGGUUGCUGCUGCCUUAUGUACAAUUGCGGAGUUGUGGUUAUUCAUAAAUAGAGUUGUUUUCGAGGAGUCUGGCAUUGACAGGAGGAAGCUGAAAAUUAGAUUUGUCUUUUAACCAAAGAAUAUGGAUUGAGAUUGAAAGGUGAUAGGUGGUCUGAGCUUUAUGAUGGUCAAUUCUGCAAUUGUUUGGGAUAAUGAGCAGGAGAAUGAAACUUGUGAGAGCAAUUCAGUGUACCUUGGGAUCUUCCAGUUGAAGGCUUUAUUAUCAUUUGCUACAAUGGUGCAGCGAAAGGAAAUCCAGGUGCCUCAAACUUUGGUUUUAUUGCCAGAAAUCACUUUGAUCUUGUGUUAAGAGCUGUAGCUGGGGGUUCGUGUUGUGCCUCUAACUGCUUAGCUGAAAUUCUGUCUAUUAUGAUUUCUUUUGAGUGGGCCUAACAAUCAGGAAUUGAAGGUGGUUUUAAUUUCGUCAGACUCAAGUGAAGCUAUUCAUGCUUUUAUGGCAAGUAAAUAAUUACUAGCUCAAGCUGAUGUGUAUUGAAAUAUGUUUAUUCAUUCGGCCUUCGCUGCAUGUGUUGUGAGUGCCGAAAAGGGGAAGAUACCACUUAAACAUAACUGAACUUUGUUAGUGUCUGUCCAUUUGCACACACAUAAUCCAGUUUUUGUUAAUUGAUACAUCAUCUAUGAAUUAAAUCUGUUACAGAGAUCCUGUGCAUCACAAUUUCAUGCUUCACUCUAUGAAGGUUUGGUGGUGCCAUGGUGGAGCUCGAUACUGUCCCGAGCUUGCAGUUUGUUAAGAAUUCUGUUCUUGGAUAUGCGUCAGUGUUAUUUAAUGGAGUUCGAGCUUCCCCUGACUUAUAUAUUCCAGCCAUUACAAAACAAGAACAAAGUUCUACUCAAGAGAAUUAUGGAAUUGAUCGUGUAUGGAAAAUAAGGCAUAAUGUGGCUGCUGAUCUCAGUGGAGGUCGGAUCAUGAUGUUGAAAAAGUUGAAGUUUAAAUCGCUUAUUCGAUUGAAAAAAAGAAGGAGGCGUUUCCAUCUGAUGCUGUUAUUGGCUCAAUAUAGCAAAUAAAGUUGAGCCACAUCUUAUUAGCUUUCGGUGUAAUAGAUCCUGUAAAACCGAACGCAGAGCAAUUUCAUUCCUUCAUCAUUACGAGCAUAAUGGUGACCAGCGACAUUUGGACUAAAACAAAUGCCAUAUCCAAGGAAGUUGGACUGUUACAAUGUUCGCAGAGGCAGACCCACUUAGAAAAGCUGAUAAAAUCGAAGAUUUGCAGAAAUACUGCUUCUGGAUAAGAGUCUGAAAUUUGGUGGAGACAACUUGCUUUGGUGGAGAGAUAAGAGUCUGGAAUUUGGAAGAUAUUACCAUUAAGAAUUUUCAGUUGCAUGCUACUGGAUGGAAAUGGAAGCUCUCAAAAGGUUUAGGUGGCAAUGGUAUUUCUUAGAUUCGAAACAAGACAACACUUGGCUUGUUUCCAGGGUUCCUUUGCGGUUAGGGUGGAGGGCUGAAUAUAGAAAUUCAAAGCUGUUGGCUUUGGGGAACCAAUUUUCAAUAUCAACUCAGGAAAGUUGCAAGCAUCACUAGACAGGGUAGAAGCAAUUCUAAUUAAUACAGAUUAUAUUUUCCAGAAUAAAUCAGGUUCGCUUUCAAGAUUGGAUUUUUUUUGUGCGAAGUUAUUUUUGAUUUUAGGUAGGAACAUUUGCAGAGAAGGAAACCGUGUGUAAUGUGUAAUUGUCUUUUUUGAUGCAAAGCUUGUCAUAAGUGUCGUGUCAAGUAAUACUAGUGGUGUCAUCGACUAUCGUUGCAGGACGAUGCAAUGAAUAUAACGGCAAAACCAUCACAAAGGGCCACCUGGAAGAGAAACAACACCGUUUCUCUCUAUCGUUACCAUUAGAUUUUAGUUGCCAUGUUAGCUUGUUUUGGAUUUCUAUGGAAGUUACAAUUUUGUGGUUCUAUAGAUUGCUGUUACUCCUUGAUGCUUAAGCUACUCUACUUUUGAAGUGAAAUUAGAUACUACUCCUUGAUGCUUAAGCUACUCUACUAGUAUUUCUUUCAGAAGUAGAGUAGCUUAAGAACGCGGAACGUCAAGUCGAACUUGUCACCAAAAUCUAUUUUCCCUUGAAAAGUAGAGUAGCUUAAGCAUGGAUUCUAAAUUAGAUACUACUAGCAUUAUCUUUUCUUUUUCAUUUAAGCUAUAUAACUUAAGUGUUCUUGGUUCAAAAAAAAAAAAAAAAAAAACUGAAGUGUUCAUUUGAUUUAUCACCGGAAUGUUUGCCAUGGUCUAUCAAAUGAGUGGUAGGCAUGUAUCAUUAACCUUGUUGGGUAAAUGCAAGUGCAACUGACUGUUGAUUAUAUGACUGUUUGCUCAUCCCAGUAGUGUCCAUGUUAUAUAUGCAAAGUAACUCAUGGCAUGAAGGAUGAUGCAUCCUAAGCAUUUUUUGAUCAGAGACCUUAAUGAGAGUCAGAUCCAGAUGAAUCAGGUGAUCUGAGUCAGAUUCAGUUGAAAGACUAACGUUUCUCUUACAUGUGUUGGCUAAAAAAUGAACAAGCUCUUGCCGUGUCAAUUAUCAAACAGUUUUACUCUUCCAAGUCGAAGACAAAUGUGGAAGCCCA